UACGUAGGUGGCGAGCGUUGUCCGGAUUACUGGGCGUAAAGAGCGCGCAGGCGGUCGUACAAGUCGCGUGUGAAAGCCCCCGGCUCAACUGGGGAGGGUCACGCGAUACUGUUCGACUCGAAGGCAGGAGAGGGAAGUGGAAUUCCCGGUGUAGUGGUGAAAUGCGUAGAUAUCGGGAGGAACACCAGUGGCGAAGGCGACUUCCUGGCCUGUUCUUGACGCUGAGGCGCGAAAGCUAGGGUAGCAAACGG
Molecule: ribosomal RNA, 251 nt
Filed under: uncultured bacterium
Lineage: Bacteria
Description: partial 16S ribosomal RNA
Rfam family: Bacterial small subunit ribosomal RNA
Source: RNAcentral